RNAcentral lists this ribosomal RNA (791 nucleotides) under uncultured archaeon. RNAcentral describes it as "bacterial SSU rRNA". It matches the Rfam family "Archaeal small subunit ribosomal RNA", at positions 85 to 879 of the family's 1478-position model. The record is from RNAcentral.
ACUGCUCAGUAACACGUGGAUAACAUGCCCUAAGGUGGGGGAUAAUCUCGGGAAACUGAAGGUAAUACCCCAUAGGUCUGAUAUGCUGGAAUGCUUUCAGGCCGAAAACUCCGGUGCCUUAGGAUUGGUCUGCGGUCUAUCAGGCUGUAGUGGGUGUAACGGACCCACUAGCCCGUGACGGAUAUGGGCCUUGAGAGAGGGAGCCCAGAGAUGGACUCUGAGACAUGAGUCCAGGCCCUACGGGGCGCAGCAGUCGCGAAAACUUCGCAAUGGGGGAAACCCCGACGAGGGAAUUCCAAGUGCUAGCACUUUGUGUUAGCUGUUCUUCUGUCUAAAAAACAGGAGAAGUAAGGGGCGGGUAAGACGGGUGCCAGCCGCCGCGGUAAUACCCGCGCCCCGAGUGGUGGUCGAUAUUAUUGAGCCUAAAACGUUCGUAGCCGGUCUUCUAAAUCCUUGGGUAAAUCGGGCAGCUUAACUGUCCGAAUUCCGGGGAGACUGCAAGACUUGGGAUCGGGAGAGGUCAGAGGUACUUCUGGGGUAGGGGUAAAAUCCUGUAAUCCUAGAAGGACCACCGGUGGCGAAGGCGUCUGACUAGAACGAAUUCGACGGUGAGGAACGAAGCCCUGGGGCGCAAACGGGAUUAGAUACCCCGGUAGUCCAGGGUGUAAACGCUGCGGGCUUGGUGUUGGGGGUCCUUAGUGGGCGCCCAGUGCCGGAGAGAAGUUGUUAAGCCUGCUGCUUGGGGAGUACGUCCGCAAGGAUGAAACUUAAAGGAAUUGGCGGGGGAGGAC